AUAAUAUAGAAAGAGAGAAAUAUAUUGCACGUGUUAUUUCAAUAGAAGUACCUACCGACUUACGUAAAUUGUGAAUGAAAAUUAUCAUAAAAGAUUAUUGGAAGAGUUUAUUUUGUGAGAGGCUUCUUGAAAAAUAUGAAUAAAUUAUAUCAUAAUCGUAUAUAAUACGGGUUAAAAGAGCCAAUAAUUUUCUAAAUAUCGAGUUUAGCCCACCUUAAUGGAUCAUACUGUAUCACACUGUUUUCCCUGUGUGUGGAAAAUAUUCCUUUUGUUAAUAAACUUGAAAACUAAUUAAGUAAUAUCCUUUUAUCGAAACCUACACAGAGUGGUUUCAACACAUUUUAGGUAGGUGUAUACCGGAGGUUAGGCGUUAGGCGAUAUAAAUCCGGAAGUGACUCAGGGGCAUUGUGUGCUUGCGAAUUAAGAGGAAUUUACGGUAUUCCGGGUUCUUUUUUUAUGCGAUUAGCCCGCUUUAUUAUUUAACUUUUUAAAUUUUACUGUUUUUUCUCCUCGAAAAGCUCGAAAAAGCCUACUAAUUUAUUCGUAAUCGCGAUCGCACAAUUAAGUGGAUUUCCUUUUUUUUCGCCAACACAUUGGAUUUAGGA
Molecule: non-coding RNA, 605 nt
Organism: Cinara cedri
Lineage: Eukaryota; Metazoa; Arthropoda; Insecta; Hemiptera; Aphididae
Source: the annotation of a GenBank genome assembly